RNAcentral lists this ribosomal RNA (468 nucleotides) under uncultured bacterium. RNAcentral's name for it is "partial 16S ribosomal RNA". It matches the Rfam family "Bacterial small subunit ribosomal RNA", at positions 28 to 507 of the family's 1533-position model. The record is from RNAcentral.
GACGAACGCUGGCGGCGUGCUUAACACAUGCAAGUCGAACGGAAAGGCUCUGCUUUUGUGGGGUGCUCGAGUGGCGAACGGGUGAGUAACACGUGAGUAACCUGCCCUUGACUUUGGGAUAACUUCAGGAAACUGGGGCUAAUACCGGAUAGGAGCUCCUGCUGCAUGGUGGGGGUUGGAAAGUUUCGGCGGGUGGGGAUGGACUCGCGGCUUAUCAGCUUGUUGGUGGGGUAGUGGCUUACCAAGGCUUUGACGGGUAGCCGGCCUGAGAGGGUGACCGGCCACAUUGGGACUGAGAUACGGCCCAGACUCCUACGGGAGGCAGAAGUGGGGAAUAUUGCACAAUGGGCGGAAGCCUGAUGCAGCAACGCCGCGUGCGGGAUGACGGCCUUCGGGUUGUAAACCGCUUUCGCCUGUGACGAAGCGUGAGUGACGGUAAUGGGUAAAGAAGCACCGGCUAACUACGUG